Molecule: RNA transcript, 2206 nt
Organism: Sus scrofa (pig)
Lineage: Eukaryota; Metazoa; Chordata; Mammalia; Artiodactyla; Suidae
Source: RefSeq, a predicted model, not a curated record
CAGCCCUUAGAAAGAAAGAAAGAAAGAAAGAAAGAAAGGAAGAGAAAGAAAGAAAGAAAGAGUGCCUGUGUCAACCACGAGUAAAGGCAAGAAAUUAAGCAAUUUUGGCAUGUGGCAAAAUGUUCUCAGUUGCUAAAUCUAGGUGGAAGAUGUAUGGUUAGUCAUUGCACCACUCUGAACUUCUCAAUAUGUUUACAAUUUUUCAAACCAACCCCUCUUCUUCCUCUGGAUUUCUGAAUGUGACAUCUGUAACUGAAGCAGCGGUGAGGAAGCCUGGACUGAGGAUCAAGCUGAAAUGCUGACGUGGCUCUGGGUUCCUGCUGACCUCAUAGAAGAUAACAGAAGUGCCAUUGUGCAAGUUCCAGAACCUGCAUUUCAGAAACCUUAGCUUCUGCUUUUCCCUCUUGAAGACGUCUCUGAAUCUGCCAUUAAGGAAACUAGUUUAACCUACUGGAGGAUAAGAGGUCAUGUGGAAGAAAUUUAGACAAGAGCCAAGAGCAACUGCCAGACAUGUGAAUGAAGUCCCUUUGGACCUUCGUGCCCACCAGAUAGCCCAGUUGAAUUCCGCCAUGUGACUGAGGCCAGACUUAGAAAGACCUUCCCAUACAGAAGUCAGAGGUGGAGAAGAGACAGAGCAAAUAUGGAGAAACCAGUAGUGCCUGGCCAAGUGCCCAGCAUUGGGAGGUGUUCGGUGUAUUGUUUGGGAAGCCAUAUUUUCUGGCACUGGAAUCAAGGCACCUGGGUGCCCAUGGGACCAUCAACCAUGCUGGGGAGAACACUGCUAAAUGCUCCACAAAAUCACGUCUGUGAAGAAGGAAGAUUGAUGGUGGCCCCUGCACGAGGCACAGACAAGACCUGUCAUAGUUGUCAUGUGGUUAUGGCAGUUUUCACCAGUGAAAUUGACCAAUUCAUCAACUGCUCACCAGGCACCGGGGAAGUCACAGUCAGACCUACAUUCGCCUUCAAAUAACAUUCUCAGGUUAGGAACUGGCCAUGACUAAAAGAGCAGAGCUGUAGAAACAUUGGGAGCAUGACCUGUGUACUCAAGUGAAAACCACAGUGUCAAGAAGGAAGCGUUGACACUCAGUGAACAUGCUAAAAACCAAUGAUGAAGCUGGGAUUCUGCAGCCACCAACCCACCAGAACUGCUCAUCCAAGGUUACUGCUGACCACCGUCUUGCCGGAUCCAGAGGCCACUUCGAUGUCUGUAUCAGACUCAGCUUCUCUGCAGUUGGUCAGUUUCCUUCCAACGGCGUUUUCAGCACUUGGAUUCCAAGUUACUUCACUGUUUUCUGGAGACCAAGACAGACCCUUUCUUUCCUUCUCUUAGGACAAUGGACUUCACUGGAAUUGCAUAUGAUUGUCCUUUUAAAAUGUGCAGAAGAAUUCUUCUGUCUUUCCCAGACACUUGGCAACAGGCUGGACAGGUAGUAGAAGCCCAGCAGAUGCAUUUGUUGAUGGAUAGAAUGAAAAUUACCUAGGCCGAUUUCACCUUGGGAGUUUCCUCAAUAUAGACUGGAGGACUUGUUGCUUUGUUAGAGGCACCCUAGGGGGUUCCCCAUCUGCAGCUUGGUAGGAAACAACAUUCUUUUAGCAGCCUUGACGCAACUAGCAUGGCAAUGGCCACAGCCUGCCUUUGUGAACAGGAGGCAGGGGCAUUAGCUGCAUUGUUUCUGGAUGUUGGCACAAAUGUGGUCCUGCCCUCUGGUUCUCCAGAACAAAGCUGGAGGUUGAAUCCCUUUUGUUGGGGUAGAGAAGGCGGUGUAUUGAGCUCCGUGGAAAAUGGACAGGAGGACUCUGACAGAUGGGGGAAGGGUCACCCCCCACAGUAGGGGGUCAGUCUGGAAGUGGGUACUAUAGCAACCCACUGAGAAUUAUCCUGUGAAUUAAAGGAUGGUUGGAUGCAUGGGGUCUGCCCAGGCAGGGAACCUGGCUGGGUCUUUGUCAACCAACAGACGAGAGGCUGGUUUGCAGCUGUGUGAUUUGACAGUUUGGUUGUGUUCAGACAGCUCUGUGCUGUGGAGACGACAUGACUCUUGAGUUUCGCUGCAUGUCUGUAUGUAAACCAGGGACAUACAAAGCGGGGAGGCGGGGGAGCCCUCCACCAGGAUGCACAAGCAGUGAAUUUCUGUGCGUGUGUGCGCGCGUGCAUGUGUAUAGAAUUUAAAAGCAAUAAUAAAACUGACUAAAAGUAGGUUUGCUUUUU